CUCUGCUACCUCUCUGUGGUUAAUAGUGUAUCCAGCUCAGCCCAGAGCUCUGCCCUGAAGGAUGUCCUUUAUCAUAAAUUCAGAUGUAUCUGCACGUCCCAAGGUGUCCUGAUGCC
This 116-nucleotide long non-coding RNA is filed under the name Monodelphis domestica (gray short-tailed opossum). RNAcentral's name for it is "lncRNA (ENSMODG00000031554.2)". The record is from RNAcentral. Lineage: Eukaryota; Metazoa; Chordata; Mammalia; Didelphimorphia; Didelphidae.